This is a long non-coding RNA of Mus pahari (shrew mouse), 535 nucleotides long. RefSeq lists it as uncharacterized. Lineage: Eukaryota; Metazoa; Chordata; Mammalia; Rodentia; Muridae. The transcript is spliced from 4 exons. The record is from RefSeq and is a predicted model, not a curated record.
ACGCACUUCCUCCCACAGGACCAGAUCCAAAAAUGUGCUGCUAGAAAGGAAGCAUUCAACAAGGGGAGCCAACGGGGAGCACCAAAUCACUUUGUAAUUUAUUUACCGUCACCAUAACAGAAGCGCCAUGAGGUGGCCGUCGGCUUCACACGGAGUCUGAUGAUGGGACUCGCUGUAAACAGGUUUGCUUGAACAUUGUAACGAGCUUGUCAUUAUUUGUUUCCAUUCAAGGAAGUCAGCAAAAUUGUAAUGAUCUUACAAAGCAUCCACAAGCGUCACUCAGCCCCUGGAGCACAGCGAGGCCUCUUCUUUACUCGGGCAUUUUUAGUGCUGUGACCUCAGGCUUCAUUUUAAAGUACUGGUUAAAACGGACAACCGCAUACCUAGUGGGGAAAGAACAAGGCAGAGUCAGAGCUGACCUCAGUCCUGCUUCCUCUUGCCCUGAGCUGACUGCACAAAGUUCACACUGCCAGCGUGCAUGCUUCACCUGCUGCUGCCCCUGCUGGACACUCCCCAUGUUGAGCACGUAAGUGCA